RNAcentral lists this ribosomal RNA (329 nucleotides) under uncultured eukaryote. RNAcentral describes it as "partial 18S ribosomal RNA". It matches the Rfam family "Eukaryotic small subunit ribosomal RNA", at positions 1470 to 1796 of the family's 1831-position model. The record is from RNAcentral.
CCCUUAGAUGUUCUGGGCCGCACGCGCGCUACACUGACGAUGGCAACGAGUUUUUCCUACGCCGAAAGGUGUGGGUAAUCUUUUGAAACAUCGUCGUGCUGGGGAUAGAUCAUUGCAAUUUUUGAUCUUGAACGAGGAAUUCCUAGUAAGCGCGAGUCAUCAGCUCGCGUUGAUUACGUCCCUGCCCUUUGUACACACCGCCCGUCGCUACUACCGAUUGAAUGGUUUAGUGAGGACUCCUGAUUGGCGCCGCCGCCCCGGCAACGGAGCAGCGGACUGCCGAAAAGUUGUUCAAACUUGAUCAUUUAGAGGAAGUAAAAGUCGUAACA